This is a long non-coding RNA of Gambusia affinis (western mosquitofish), 2323 nucleotides long. RefSeq lists it as uncharacterized. NCBI's taxonomy places the organism in Eukaryota, Metazoa, Chordata, Actinopteri, Cyprinodontiformes, Poeciliidae. The transcript is spliced from 3 exons. The record is from RefSeq and is a predicted model, not a curated record.
AGGGCGGCUCCGAGGCCCGCGUUAGCAGCGGGGAGCAACGGAGCUGUGGACUCGGAGGAGACCCGCCAGGAGCAUAAAUGGACUGCGCCGGCGGGGACGUCACGAUGCGUAGUCGCCACAAAGCUCAUGAACGCGCUCAUUUGGCUCCCAGCAUGCCGCACACCCGGAGGGACCGCCGCUUACAAGGAGGAACCCCUAAAAGCCCGCCCUGGAGCACCCGAGGAGGAACAAGAGCAUCCAGAGGUUUCUGUCGCGCAUUCGACGCUGCAGGCCCGAGGGGUUGUCUGUUAUCUUUGGUUAUCUAGCUGUAUGAGUGACGUACAUUCUUCAUAAAGCUAGAUAACCGAAAGUAACAAGAAUCCCAUUACACGCCUGCACAGGAAGAAGGAAAAAGGCGCGGAAAUUGAGCCCAGAGAGCAGCGGAUCGGGCUGGAGGUGGACGGCAGCUGCUGCUAACCAAUGAUGUGAAGGUUUCUGAUCUGGAGGAGUUUUACAACAAACUACUCAACGAAUGAAGCUGAAGAAAAGAUCUCAAACAAAGCAACCUGGUAGAAAUCAGUUCACAUUGUUCGGUUGGAUACAGAAAACACUGACAGUUCGACAUGUUGGACACUUCAAAUGAUACGAAGGACAGAGUGAUGGAUUCUGGGAAACCGUCCUGCACAGAUGUUCAGGAAACAUCUGGACUAGAUUUUAAUGUAGGUCAGAGCUCAGAUCAGCAUCUCUCUCACAAACACACAAACAAAACAACAAUUCAGCUGAGAUGUCAGUCAUAUUUAUGUAUUUUUAUGUAAAUAAAAAUCUGAAAUUGACAAAAUUAGUGAUUUUAAGUAGUCAAGUUAUAGAUUUGCUUUAUUUUCGGAAGGAUUUUUUUUUCAUCUUUAUCUUAAUUUCUUCAUUUUCAUUAGCUUUUAAGUUUUAUAGUUGGUGAUAAAUAUUUGUCCUGUGUGAAUCUGAAUGGUUCAGUUUAUUGACAAUCUUGGGACUCUCAGCAAUCAUCUCUGACUUUAUGUCAAAGUUGUUACAUUUAUUUUAUUUACUCAGGAUAAAGUUUUAUUAUUAUUUCUGACUGAGAAUGUAUCAUUUGUUUCUUGAAAUAUUGCACUAAUUGAAGCAGUUUGCAUAAAGGUUUUUUUUUAGAUGUUUAAAAGUUUAAAGGUUUAAUAUCAUUCAGUAUCAAGACUGAAUGUUGUGCGCUUACACUGUAGGGACUUUGUUGUGUGCAUGCAAUCAAAGCUACAUAACGUUACUUUGUCUAUGCAAGGAAAAGAAAAUAAGAUAAUUUUUUGUUAUUGGAAAGAAUUUGCACAAAUCAGUUAGAUUUGCACUAACAACGUUAGAUGUUCAGGCUUGAUUUGCACUAUAAGAGCACAAUGCAAUGCAGAAAAAGUGAGACUUAUGCAAGUUAGUCUGAAACUUAAAUAUAAGUUUUUGUUCCACAAAUAUGUAUAAAUUACUGAUUCAAAAUGUUAAAAAGUCUCAUUCUGUUGCAAUGUCAACAAGUGUAACUUAUUUUAAACUGAAAAAACUGUUUAAAGGUACUAAUAAUUACACAAUAUUGCACUAUUAAUAAUGGCCUCUUAGCAAUUUUAGAAGCUCAGUUUGCACAUAACCUGAGCUGUGCUAUGCAAUGGUUUCUAAUGUAAAUCAAUAAAAGUAUUGAUGUUUACAAUAAGACAUUCAUCUGCUCCUGUGUAAAGUUUGAUCGGUAAAGUUUGGUUUAUUUAAAGAUGAGUCUAAAUAAACAAAAUCCCAACUCAGAGGUUCGAGACAAUCAGUAUUUAGUUAUAUGGAAGUGAUCGAUUUUGUUCAAAGUUCAAUAGAUAUCAAUCAAAAGCAUUGUUUCUAAUGAACCACAAAUGUAAUUAAGGCAAAUUCAGUUGACUUAAAUGACUACCAUAUUUUAGCACUUGCAGGAAGACGGUCCUGCAUGGAUGUUUUUUAUUCUGGUAGCAGUCAACGCUUUCAAAAAUAGUUUUAGAUUUACUAAUGAAAAGUUACAGGUAAAUAAAACAAUCGGUCUUUGGAAGGCCUACGACAACUUACAUCUAAAGAGAAGAAAAGCAACAGAUUCCAUGAGUUUUUGAGGAAAUAAAGUCACAUCUUUGGAAAGUUUAUGAAACGGGAAGUCUGCAUUUUAGUCAAACUGUUUUUACAAGUGAAAUAAAUCAAAUUAAAAGAGAAAACUUGUGUUCUACCUUACAUUUUUCAUUUGGACGUCUUAUAUUGUUUUGCUCGAAAUGGACAACUACAAAUUUAGACUAUUCUUACAUUUCUGAUUAAAUGCCACACUUUGGACACCCUUGGUGUUGAUGUUUAGUCA